UGGAGCAGAAAAUGUGUGUGGGAGAUCAUUCUGGUGUGGAAAUUGGUUUGGUUGGGGAUCAAGCCUGGAGCACUGGAAACAAAUUAGGAUACUAAAUCAGUUCUCAGAAUCGAAGUUGAAUGUCCUAACAAUAGGAAGAGAUUGAUUGGAGGCAGAUUAAGGAGAUGGAACCCGUAAAAGACAUAGUACUUCCAGGUAAACAUUAAACAAUGGUAUGGAUAUCAGAAAAUGACACUACUGUAGAAACAAGCAGCCAAGCAUAAUAUUGGUGAAGACAGGCUUUAUUGUUGGACAAACUGGCUUUGGAAUAAUAUG
RNAcentral lists this long non-coding RNA (315 nucleotides) under Pan troglodytes (chimpanzee). Its description in RNAcentral is "long non-coding RNA NONPTRT001089". The record is from RNAcentral. Lineage: Eukaryota; Metazoa; Chordata; Mammalia; Primates; Hominidae.